CGGAACGGGUGAGUAACGCGUGAGGAACCUGCCUCAAAGAGGGGGACAACAGUUGGAAACGACUGCUAAUACCGCAUAAGCCCACGGCUCGGCAUCGAGCAGAGGGAAAAGGAGUGAUCCGCUUUGAGAUGGCCUCGUGUCCGAUUAGCUGGUUGGUGAGGUAACGGCCCACCGAGGCGACGAUCGGUAGCCGGACUGAGAGGUUGAACGGCCACAUUGGGACUGAGACACGGCCCAG
RNAcentral lists this ribosomal RNA (238 nucleotides) under uncultured bacterium. Its description in RNAcentral is "partial 16S ribosomal RNA". It matches the Rfam family "Bacterial small subunit ribosomal RNA", at positions 100 to 334 of the family's 1533-position model. The record is from RNAcentral.